RNAcentral lists this long non-coding RNA (941 nucleotides) under Androctonus crassicauda. The record is from RNAcentral. Lineage: Eukaryota; Metazoa; Arthropoda; Arachnida; Scorpiones; Buthidae.
AAAAAAAAAAAAAAAAAAAAAAAAAAAAUACAGUGUUUUGUACAUAAUCUAGGGAAAACAUUAAUGUUUUCAAAAAUUUUCCAAUAUUUGAGGCACCAAACUUUUCUGAUGCACCUUGUAUUUUAUGUUGUUGUUAUUAUAUUCAAUAAUGUGUGUUGCUAUGUUUAUAUGUUCAAAAGAUUAAUAACAAUUAAAGUAAGGAUAAAAUACAGAUCAUAUAUGUGCAUAAUAUUGUGUUCCAUGAGGUAUGCAUUUAAAAGUGGAAAAUAAACAUAACAUUGAAAUUAAUUAAUUUUAAUUAGAUUGCUGUCUUUGUUUAUUGUCUCUAUAGUGUAUGUCCAUUCUGGAAGUAGCUCCAUAGCCAGUCUGCCAUUUAGGUUUUUUCAUUUGUUUGUCUCUUUAUGAUUUCUAUGUCUGCUGUCAAGGCCUGUGUCUUUGCAUUGAUGGGCUUUAUGCUUCUCACAUUGUUCCAAUUUAUGUAUAAGUUAUUGGCAUAGAUCUCCAUUGAUAGUGCUGUAGAAAGCUUCCUUUUAGCUAUGUCCUGUUUGUGUUCUUCCAUCCUCUGGGAGAGAGUUUGAGUGGUUUCUUCUAUUCAUGAUGCUGAUUGAUGUCUUUAUGUCCUCCACUGGAAUUUUGUAGACAUCUUGUUUUUCUAAAUCAUUUAAAAUAUCUUCUUUCAUUUUUUCAUCAGGUUAAAUACAGUUGGCCCUCUCUGUAUCACUAGUCUUUUGUUUCUCUCUGCUAUUUUAGCUACAAUAUUAAAUUUUUUAAAGAUAAUAUGGUGUAGGCAGAUAACUUUCUUGUUGGGGUAUUGUAUGAGUUACCUGUGAAUGGUUAUUACUUAUAUUACUGAAAUUUUUUUGUACUGCCUUUAAUAUACUUCUUAGAAAUGAUUUUUAUAGCCAUGUUGUGUUCUUAUAUCUGUAAUGUAUUCAAUUUUA